This 482-nucleotide ribosomal RNA is filed under the name uncultured bacterium. Its description in RNAcentral is "bacterial SSU rRNA". It matches the Rfam family "Bacterial small subunit ribosomal RNA", at positions 17 to 518 of the family's 1533-position model. The record is from RNAcentral.
UCCUGGCUAGGACGAACGCUGGCGGCGUGCCUAACACAUGCAAGUCGAGCGAGGAGAUCCUCGGGAUGAUCCUAGCGGCGGACGGGUGAGUAACACGUGGGCAACCUGCCUCAUAGAGAGGAAUAGCCUUCCGAAAGGGAGAUUAAUACCUCAUAACAUUGCAGUUUCGCAUGGAACAGCAAUUAAAGGAGCAAUCCGCUAUGAGAUGGGCCCGCGGCGCAUUAGCUAGUUGGUGAGGUAACGGCUCACCAAGGCGACGAUGCGUAGCCGACCUGAGAGGGUGAUCGGCCACAUUGGGACUGAGACACGGCCCAGACUCCUACGGGAGGCAGCAGUGGGGAAUAUUGCACAAUGGGGGAAACCCUGAUGCAGCCAACGCCGCGUGAGUGAUGACGGCCUUCGGGUUGUAAAGCUCUGUCUUCAGGGACGAUAAUGACGGUACCUGAGGAGGAAGCCACGGCUAACUACGUGCCAGCAGCUGC